RNAcentral lists this ribosomal RNA (253 nucleotides) under uncultured bacterium. Its description in RNAcentral is "partial 16S ribosomal RNA". It matches the Rfam family "Bacterial small subunit ribosomal RNA", at positions 524 to 776 of the family's 1533-position model. The record is from RNAcentral.
UACGAAGGGGGCUAGCGUUGCUCGGAAUCACUGGGCGUAAAGGGCUCGUAGGUGGCCAACUAAGUCAGACGUGAAAUCCCUCGGCUUAACCGGGGAACUGCGUCUGAUACUGGAUGGCUUGAGUUCGGGAGAGGGAUGCGGAAUUCCAGGUGUAGCGGUGAAAUGCGUAGAUAUCUGGAGGAACACCGGUGGCGAAGGCGGCAUCCUGGACCGACACUGACGCUGAGGAGCGAAAGCCAGGGGAGCAAACGGG